This 692-nucleotide ribosomal RNA is filed under the name Nakamurella sp. L1886. RNAcentral describes it as "bacterial SSU rRNA". It matches the Rfam family "Bacterial small subunit ribosomal RNA", at positions 38 to 744 of the family's 1533-position model. Lineage: Bacteria; Bacillati; Actinomycetota; Actinomycetes; Nakamurellales; Nakamurellaceae. The record is from RNAcentral.
GGCGGCGUGCUUAACACAUGCAAGUCGAACGGAAAGGCCCGCUUGCGGGUACUCGAGUGGCGAACGGGUGAGUAACACGUGGGCAACCUGCCCUCAGCUCUGGGAUAACUCCGGGAAACCGGGGCUAAUACUGGAUAUCGACUUCUGCCUCGCAUGGGGUGUUGUUGAAAGUUUUUCGGCUGGGGAUGGGCCCGCGGCCUAUCAGCUUGUUGGUGGGGUGAUGGCCUACCAAGGCGACGACGGGUAGCCGGCCUGAGAGGGCGACCGGCCACACUGGGACUGAGACACGGCCCAGACUCCUACGGGAGGCAGCAGUGGGGAAUAUUGCGCAAUGGGCGGAAGCCUGACGCAGCGACGCCGCGUGAGGGAUGACGGCCUUCGGGUUGUAAACCUCUUUCAGCUCUGACGAAGCGAGAGUGACGGUAGGAGCAGAAGAAGCACCGGCCAACUACGUGCCAGCAGCCGCGGUAAUACGUAGGGUGCAAGCGUUGUCCGGAAUUAUUGGGCGUAAAGAGCUCGUAGGCGGUUUGUCGCGUCGAAUGUGAAAACCCGGGGCUCAACUCCGGGCCUGCAUUCGAUACGGGCAGACUAGAGUUCGGUAGGGGAGACUGGAAUUCCUGGUGUAGCGGUGAAAUGCGCAGAUAUCAGGAGGAACACCGGUGGCGAAGGCGGGUCUCUGGGCCGAUACUGAC